AUUGAACGCUGGCGGCAGGCCUAACACAUGCAAGUCGAACGAGUGGCGGACGGGCGAGUAAUGUCUGGGAAACUGCCCGAUGGAGGGGGAUAACUACUGGAAACGGUAGCUAAUACCGCAUACCAUCGGAUGUGCCCAGAGGGGAUUAGCUAGUAGGUGGGGUAACGGCUCACCUAGGCGACGAUCCCUAGCUGGUCUGAGAGGAUGACCAGCCACACUGGAGCGGGAACACGGUCCAGGCUCCUACGAGAGGCAGCAGUGGGGAAUGUUGCACAAUGGGCGGAAGCCUGAUGCAGCCAUGCCGCGUGUGUGAAGAAGGCCUUCGGGUUGUAAAGUACUUUCUGCGGGGAGGCGUUACUCGCAGAAGAAGCACCGGCUAACUCCGUGCCAGCAGCCGCGGUAAUAC
This 406-nucleotide ribosomal RNA is filed under the name uncultured bacterium. RNAcentral describes it as "partial 16S ribosomal RNA". It matches the Rfam family "Bacterial small subunit ribosomal RNA", at positions 29 to 526 of the family's 1533-position model. The record is from RNAcentral.